AGCAACGCCGCGUGAGUGAUGAAGGUUUUCGGAUCGUAAAGCUCUGUUGUUAGGGAAGAACAAGUACCGUUCGAAUAGGGCGGUACCUUGACGGUACCUAACCAGAAAGCCACGGCUAACUACGUGCCAGCAGCCGCGGUAAUACGUAGGUGGCAAGCGUUGUCCGGAAUUAUUGGGCGUAAAGGGCUCGCAGGCGGUUUCUUAAGUCUGAUGUGAAAGCCCCCGGCUCAACCGGGGAGGGUCAUUGGAAACUGGGGAACUUGAGUGCAGAAGAGGAGAGUGGAAUUCCACGUGUAGCGGUGAAAUGCGUAGAGAUGUGGAGGAACACCAGUGGCGAAGGCGACUCUCUGGUCUGUAACUGACGCUGAGGAGCGAAAGCGUGGGGAGCGAACAGGAUUAGAUACCCUGGUAGUCCACGCCGUAAACGAUGAGUGCUAAGUGUUAGGGGGUUUCCGCCCCUUAGUGCUGCAGCUAACGCAUUAAGCACUCCGCCUGGGGAGUAC
This 503-nucleotide ribosomal RNA is filed under the name Bacillus subtilis. RNAcentral describes it as "bacterial SSU rRNA". It matches the Rfam family "Bacterial small subunit ribosomal RNA", at positions 390 to 883 of the family's 1533-position model. Lineage: Bacteria; Bacillati; Bacillota; Bacilli; Caryophanales; Bacillaceae. The record is from RNAcentral.